This 377-nucleotide ribosomal RNA is filed under the name uncultured bacterium. Its description in RNAcentral is "bacterial SSU rRNA". It matches the Rfam family "Bacterial small subunit ribosomal RNA", at positions 524 to 898 of the family's 1533-position model. The record is from RNAcentral.
UACGUAGGGUGCAAGCGUUGUCCGGAUUUAUUGGGCGUAAAGAGCUCGUAGGCGGUUAGUCACGUCGGAUGUGAAAACCCGGAGCUUAACUCCGGGCCUGCAUUCGAUACGGGCUGACUAGAGUGUUGUAGGGGAGACUGGAACUCCUGGUGUAGCGGUGAAAUGCGCAGAUAUCAGGAAGAACACCGGUGGCGAAGGCGGGUCUCUGGGCAACUACUGACGCUGAGGAGCGAAAGCGUGGGGAGCAAACAGGAUUAGAUACCCUGGUAGUCCACGCCGUAAACGGUGGGCGCUAGGUGUGGGGAACAUUCCACGUUCUCCGUGCCGCAGCUAACGCAUUAAGCGCCCCGCCUGGGGAGUACGGCCGCAAGGCUAAA